AUUGAACGCUGGCGGCAGGCCUAACACAUGCAAGUCGAACGAGUGGCGGACGGGUGAGUAAUGUCUGGGAAACUGCCUGAUGGAGGGGGUUAACUACUGGAAACGGUAGCCAAUACCGCAUACCAUCGGAUGUGCCCAGAUGGGAUUAGCUAGUAGGUGGGGUAAAGGCUCACCUAGGCGACGAUCCCUAGCUGGUCUGAGAGGAUGACCGGCCAAACGGGAACGGGGAAACGGUCCAGCUUCCUACGGGAGGCAGAGGGGGGAAAUAUUGCAAAAUGGGCGCAAGCCGAAUGCAGCCAUGCCGCGUGGAUGAAGAAGGCCUUCGGGUUGUAAAGUACUUUCAGCGGGGAGGCGUUACCCGCAGAAGAAGCACCGGCUAACUCCGUGCCAGCAGCCGCGGUAAUUC
RNAcentral lists this ribosomal RNA (406 nucleotides) under uncultured bacterium. RNAcentral describes it as "partial 16S ribosomal RNA". It matches the Rfam family "Bacterial small subunit ribosomal RNA", at positions 29 to 526 of the family's 1533-position model. The record is from RNAcentral.